CUUUCUUGGCCGGCUCAUUCUUUCUUUCUUUUCAUUUUUUUUUUUUUUUUUGUUUUCUCUUGUACGCUCCUCUCUACUCUCAUCUUCUCCACCGGCACUUCCACACCACCACCACCAUUUUCCACCAUCAUUCUCCAGCAAGAUCACCGGAAAAUUGUUGUAAACCCAUAAACACCUUCAUGUCUUUUUUUUUGAGGUUUGCUUGAUGUUGUUGAGGUUCUACCUAAUCUCCUUUGGAGCUUGGAGAAUUAGGCUUUUGUGUUUGCGAGGUUAGUACCCUUUCACUUUGGAUGACACGUUCUUCCUUGCUAUCUGUGGGGGGGAAGAGGUUCCUUGAUUGUGUGUGGGUGAGGUUGCUGCCCAUGGGGCCAAGAAACCACAUACAAGAGGGGUCCUAUUUGACGCGCUUUCUCUACUGCCCAUGGGGAGAGAGAAAAAUCUUGAGUGUGUGGGUGAGGCUGCUAUCCAUGGGACCAAGAGUCUGCAUACCAGAGAGGACAAUAUCAUGCCAGUUGUGAAUGGGUGGAUCCCCUGACCGGUCUAUGUGGGAAUAUGGUAGGUUUGUGAUGAAAUGAUUGUAUGUUAGAUUUUAUGGCUUUAGAAAUUAUAUUGUUAGUGCUCACAGAUUAUAAUAUAUAGUUUCAUGGUAUUAUUUUGAGAAACUUUGUGUUUCAUUGUUCAAUCAUUCUUGUCAUUUCAUAUUAUUAUUGAAGAUGAACUUGCUUUUUUCCCACCCCCAUUAAUUAUGCUACUUACUGGGCUUUAGUUCAUCCCAAUCUUUCACAGUCUUACAAAUUAAUUAUAUAUCAUGAGAAUGGAGCUUGCCUUAUCAGUAGUGAUUGGAGUUUUAUGCUGAAUUGGGAGACUUAUAUUACUAAUGGUUGGUGAUUCGAUCUAGUUGUUUUUAAGGGUGCUUGUAGUAGUUAAUUUUAUUAGAAGUUGGGCUCUUGAGGCUUGUUAGCCCAAGAGUUUUGUUGGGAUUGCAUAUUUUAGAGAGCUUUGGGACUUUCUAUUUAAUGCAUCAGAGUUUUGUAAUAUAUUCAUGUAUUAUGUGGAGGCACAUGAUUUUUAGUUAUUGUUCGUAAAUGUGUUAUAGAGCUUUGACUUACUUUAAGAGUAUAUUCAACGAAAUUAUUAUGAUAA
Molecule: long non-coding RNA, 1143 nt
Organism: Quercus lobata
Lineage: Eukaryota; Viridiplantae; Streptophyta; Magnoliopsida; Fagales; Fagaceae
Exons: 3
Source: RefSeq, a predicted model, not a curated record